This 22-nucleotide microRNA is filed under the name Caenorhabditis brenneri. Its description in RNAcentral is "cbn-miR-789b". Its record names the gene cbn-miR-789b. The record is from miRBase by way of RNAcentral. Lineage: Eukaryota; Metazoa; Nematoda; Chromadorea; Rhabditida; Rhabditidae.
CCAUCCUGGUACACCACUCGUC